This 463-nucleotide ribosomal RNA is filed under the name uncultured bacterium. RNAcentral describes it as "partial 16S ribosomal RNA". It matches the Rfam family "Bacterial small subunit ribosomal RNA", at positions 28 to 507 of the family's 1533-position model. The record is from RNAcentral.
GACGAACGCUGGCGGCGUGCUUAACACAUGCAAGUCGAACGGAAAGGCCUUUUCGGAGGUACUCGAGUGGCGAACGGGUGCGUAACACGUGGGUGAUCUGCCCUGCACUCUGGGAUAAGCCUGGGAAACUGGGUCUAAUACCGGAUAGGACCGCACUUUAGUGUGUGUGGUGGAAAGUUUUUUCGGUGUAGGAUGAGCCCGCGGCCUAUCAGCUUGUUGGUGGGGUAAUGGCCUACCAAGGCGGCGACGGGUAGCCGGACUGAGAGGUUGGUCGGCCACAGUGGGACUGAGAUACGGCCCAGACUCCGACGGGAGGCAGCAGUGGGGAAGAUUGCACAAUGGGCGCAAGCCUGAUGCAGCGACGCCGCGUGGGGGAGGACGGCCUUCGGGUUGUAAACUCCUUUCGCCAGGGACGAAGCGUUUUGUGACGGUACCUGGAGAAGAAGCACCGGCUAACUACGUG